Non-coding RNA from Paramuricea clavata, 411 nucleotides. NCBI's taxonomy places the organism in Eukaryota, Metazoa, Cnidaria, Anthozoa, Malacalcyonacea, Plexauridae. The record is from the annotation of a GenBank genome assembly.
CAUGAAUGCAGAUAUCCUGAACAACUUCCCUUUUAUUUGUGCAAGUAGACUAAGUAAGUAAUUGUUUUUUUGUGUUUCUCCAUAGCACCUGGUAAGCCUGGAAACGUUCAGCUGGAACGUAUUUCAUCAACAGAACUCGAUCUAACUUGGACUUCACCAUCUGACCCUAACGGGGUUAUUAUCGGAUACAGGAUUGUCUGGAGCAUUCUGAGAGAUGACAAGAAUAUGUCUGUUUCUAACAGUGUUUCAAAGACUGAAAUCAUAAAUAAUGGAAGUACAGUAUCGUUUGGGAUAGACAAAUUAGGUAAGCAUGGUGGUACAGGUGACUUUGCAAUACUUUUUUAUAUCAUCUUGUAAAUGCCGUUGGUACAAGCAAAAUUAUUAAAGAAACCCUAAGAUUGACGUUUACAG